This 350-nucleotide ribosomal RNA is filed under the name uncultured bacterium. Its description in RNAcentral is "partial 16S ribosomal RNA". It matches the Rfam family "Bacterial small subunit ribosomal RNA", at positions 338 to 704 of the family's 1533-position model. The record is from RNAcentral.
CCUACGGGUGGCAGCAGUGGGGAAUAUUGCACAAUGGGGGAAACCCUGAUGCAGCGACGCCGCGGGAGUGAAGAAGUAUUUCGGUAUGUAAAGCUCUAUCAGCAGGGAAGAAGCAAGACGGGACCGGACGAAGAAGCCCCGGCUAACUACGUGCCAGCAGCCGCGGUAAUACGUAGGGGGCAAGCGUUAUCCGGAUUUACUGGGGGUAAAGGGAGCGUAGACGGUCUGGAAAGUCUGAAGUGAAAGCCCAGGGCUGAACCCGGGGACUGCUUUGGAAACUGUUAGACUAGAGUGCUGGAGCGGUAAGUGGACUUCCUAGUGUAGCGGUGACAUGCGUAGAUAUUAGGCGG